RNAcentral lists this ribosomal RNA (407 nucleotides) under uncultured Acidothermus sp. Its description in RNAcentral is "bacterial SSU rRNA". It matches the Rfam family "Bacterial small subunit ribosomal RNA", at positions 355 to 774 of the family's 1533-position model. The record is from RNAcentral. Lineage: Bacteria; Bacillati; Actinomycetota; Actinomycetes; Acidothermales; Acidothermaceae.
UGGGGAAUAUUGCACAAUGGGGGGAACCCUGAUGCAGCGACGCCGCGUGCGGGAUGAAGGCCUUCGGGUUGUAAACCGCUUUCAGCAGGGACGAAGCGAGAGUGACGGUACCUGCAGAAGAAGCGCCGGCUAACUACGUGCCAGCAGCCGCGGUAAUACGUAGGGCGCAAGCGUUGUCCGGAAUUAUUGGGCGUAAAGAGCUCGUAGGCGGCCUGUCGCGUCUGCUGUGAAAUCCCAGGGCUUAACCCUGGGCCUGCAGUGGAUACGGGCUGGCUAGAGGCAGGCAGGGGAGAACGGAAUUCCCGGUGUAGCGGUGAAAUGCGCAGAUAUCGGGAGGAACACCGGUGGCGAAGGCGGUUCUCUGGGCCUGUACUGACGCUGAGGAGCGAAAGCGUGGGGAGCAAACA